CGGGAAGUGGCGCAGUUUGGCAGCGCACCUGUUUUGGGAACAGGGGGCCGCAGGUUCAAAUCCUGUCUUCCCGA
RNAcentral lists this transfer RNA (74 nucleotides) under Abditibacteriota bacterium. Its description in RNAcentral is "tRNA-Pro". It matches the Rfam family "tRNA". Rfam says of the family: Transfer RNA (tRNA) molecules are approximately 80 nucleotides in length. Their secondary structure includes four short double-helical elements and three loops (D, anti-codon, and T loops). Further hydrogen bonds mediate the characteristic L-shaped molecular structure. tRNAs have two regions of fundamental functional importance: the anti-codon, which is responsible for specific mRNA codon recognition, and the 3' end, to which the tRNAs corresponding amino acid is attached (by aminoacyl-tRNA synthetases). tRNAs cope with the degeneracy of the genetic code in two manners: having more than one tRNA (with a specific anti-codon) for a particular amino acid; and 'wobble' base-pairing, i.e. permitting non-standard base-pairing at the 3rd anti-codon position. The record is from RNAcentral. Lineage: Bacteria; Pseudomonadati; Abditibacteriota.